RNAcentral lists this small RNA (79 nucleotides) under Pseudomonas synxantha BG33R. Its description in RNAcentral is "suhB". Lineage: Bacteria; Pseudomonadati; Pseudomonadota; Gammaproteobacteria; Pseudomonadales; Pseudomonadaceae. The record is from RNAcentral.
AAGGGCCGCUCGUUGUUCUGAGUGUUGCCUCGGUUGUGAAAAAUGGCCCCUUAUCCAAGGGGCCAUUUUUUUGCUUGUU